AGAGGCUCUCCGCAGCUGGGGCGGGAUGCUUGCCUCAUUGCUGCGGCGAUGAAGCAAGCAUUUCGCCAGGCUGCUCACACUGCCCGC
Myotis brandtii (Brandt's bat) is the source of this 87-nucleotide non-coding RNA. NCBI's taxonomy places the organism in Eukaryota, Metazoa, Chordata, Mammalia, Chiroptera, Vespertilionidae. The record is from Rfam.